GUAGGUUUACUCAGCGGCAGCAGUCCACUGUCUAAUACUUUACUAAAUGAAUCCAGCAUGAAGCUAAACCCCUGCAGCAUUCACCUCAUCUACUGAAAUCACAGGCUACACCUACAUCGUCGAUGCAUAAUUUGCAAAUUCAAGUCAAAAUUUGCAUACAGUUUGCAAUGAUCCAAGUUAAAAUCCCAAACUAUAAAUUCCACUAAAAUCCGCUCUGACGCAAGACAACUAAAGCAGGUACAUGGAUUCAUUAAUAAGAGCUCCUCGGUGACAGGCAGCAACCUGCUCUGGCAACAAAUUACUCACAUGGAAGUCUCAGUCAGAAAAGUCUACUUUGGAAUGUAAUUCUAGUCAAUUAUUGACAGCUCCAUGGGAAAAGUGCAGGAUCCCAACUUAUAAACGUCGUCAUGUGGAUCCUCCCUCCGUCAUCCCUCCAGCUGACUCCAGCUGCGGAGCGCGAGCCGUCCAGCUGCGCGCCGCCGUGUUCCCUGAGAGCUCGUGCAGCAUCCAGAUGCAGGACGGCAGCUUUAACGACAUCCAGCAGCAGUUUGGGGACGUGAUGUUGCCCGGCAACGGCUACGGGGGCAAUAACAACAACAACCCCAGCGGAGGCAUCAGCUACAGCUCCUCCCUGCCGCCCCCCACCGCCUCCCCGCUGCCCUGGAGCCACGGACUGUCCUCAGAUGCGGACUUCUACGGCCACGGGAUGGCUCCCUGCUCCUCACCGGAGUCUCUGGCGUUCUGCAACCCCAUGGAUCACAACAGCUACUCCCCACAGGACUCGUUCUCCUCCUCCUCUUCCUCCUGCUACGACUCGCCCACCAGGAUGGAGUCCAGCUUCCGCGGCUUCACCUCGGAGCUCUACCACUACCAGCACUGUACCCCCCAGGACUGUUACUGUCUGCCCCACUGCUGGCCAGCCCCGCAGGAGAGCUUCCCUGCCCCAGAAUAUGCACCUUACUACAACCCCACAGACCUUCCAUACGUCUGUCCUGUGGAGGAGAAUUACUUUAGGAGGGAUCUCCCAGUGAGCUCUGAGAUGUGUUACAAUGUUCUAUGAUGAGACCUCCAGCAGUAUUACCUUGUAUUCUGGCUGUAAAUAUGAUUCUCUUCAAGUAAGGCUGUUUGCUUGUUGCUUUGCAGUCCAUGCCAGUGUGUGUCCUGACUGGCUUUGGCUUCGGUGCAUGAUGAAUGCUGAAUGGAUGGAAAUAUUUUUGUAUCCUUUUUGAAAACUUAGAUUUAUUUUCAUACACAUGAUUUGUUGCUGUACAAAAUAAAGAAAAACAAACAAC
Long non-coding RNA from Amphiprion ocellaris (clown anemonefish), 1292 nucleotides. The record is from Ensembl. NCBI's taxonomy places the organism in Eukaryota, Metazoa, Chordata, Actinopteri, Pomacentridae.